GGGCGUAUAGCUCAGAUGGUUAGAGCGCGAUCCUGAUAAGAUCGAGGUCGGUGGUUCGAGUCCACCUACGCCCACCA
RNAcentral lists this transfer RNA (77 nucleotides) under Chloroflexia bacterium SDU3-3. RNAcentral describes it as "tRNA-Ile". It matches the Rfam family "tRNA". From Rfam's summary of the family: Transfer RNA (tRNA) molecules are approximately 80 nucleotides in length. Lineage: Bacteria; Bacillati; Chloroflexota; Chloroflexia. The record is from RNAcentral.